AUUGAACGCUGGCGGCAUGCCUUACACAUGCAAGUCGAACGGUAACAGGUCUUCGGAUGCUGACGAGUGGCGAACGGGUGAGUAAUACAUCGGAACGUGCCUAGUAGUGGGGGAUAACUACUCGAAAGAGUGGCUAAUACCGCAUGAGAUCUACGGAUGAAAGCAGGGGAUCGCAAGACCUUUCGCUACAAGAGCGGCCGAUGGCAGAUUAGGUAGUUGGUGGGAUAAAAGCUUACCAAGCCGACGAUCUGUAGCUGGUCUGAGAGGACGAUCAGCCACACUGGGACUGAGAAACGGCCCAGACUCCUACGGGAGGCAGCAGUGGGGAAUUUUGGACAAUGGGCGCAAGCCUGAUCCAGCAAUGCCGCGUGCAGGAUGAAGGCCUUCGGGUUGUAAACUGCUUUUGUACGGAACGAAAAGCCCCGGGUUAAUACCCUGGGGUCAUGACGGUACCGUAAGAAUAAGCACCGGCUAACUACGUGCCAGCCGCCGCGGUAA
This 498-nucleotide ribosomal RNA is filed under the name uncultured bacterium. RNAcentral describes it as "partial 16S ribosomal RNA". It matches the Rfam family "Bacterial small subunit ribosomal RNA", at positions 30 to 523 of the family's 1533-position model. The record is from RNAcentral.